Molecule: Y RNA, 86 nt
Filed under: Microcebus murinus (gray mouse lemur)
Lineage: Eukaryota; Metazoa; Chordata; Mammalia; Primates; Cheirogaleidae
Description: Y RNA (ENSMICG00000043823.1)
Rfam family: Y RNA
About the family: Y RNAs are components of the Ro ribonucleoprotein particle (Ro RNP), in association with Ro60 and La proteins. The Y RNAs and Ro60 and La proteins are well conserved, but the function of the Ro RNP is not known.
Source: RNAcentral
UGGUCUGAUGGUAGUGGGUUAUCAGAACUUAUUAACAUUAGUGUCACUAAAGUUAGUAUACAACCCCCCACUGCUAAAUUUGGCUA